This 243-nucleotide ribosomal RNA is filed under the name uncultured bacterium. Its description in RNAcentral is "partial 16S ribosomal RNA". It matches the Rfam family "Bacterial small subunit ribosomal RNA", at positions 524 to 762 of the family's 1533-position model. The record is from RNAcentral.
UACGUGAGGGUGCGAGCGUUGUCCGGAAUUAUUGGGCGUAAAGAGCUUGUAGGCGGUUUGUCGCGUCUGCUGUGAAAUCUCAAGGCUCAACCUUGAGCUUGCAGUGGGGUACGGGCAGACUAGAGUGUGGUAGGGGGAGACUGGAAUUCCUGGUGUAGCGGUGAAAUGCGCAGAUAUCCGGAGGAACACCAGCGGCGAAGGCGGCUUUCUGGUCCGAUUCUGACGCUGAGGCGGCGAAAGCGU